CCAGACUCCUACGGGAGGCAGCAGUAGGGAAUUUUCGUCAAUGGGCGCAAGCCUGAACGAGCAAUGCCGCGUGAACGAGGAAGGUCUUCGGAUCGUAAAGUUCUGUUGAAGGGGAAAAAGAGCGGAGAGAGGAAAUGGUCUCCGAUUGAUAUUACCCUUCGAGGAAGUCACGGCUAACUACGUGCCAGCAGCCGCGGUAAUACGUAGGUGGCGAGCGUUAUCCGGAAUGAUUGGGCGUAAAGGGUGCGUAGGCGGCCUGCUAAGUCUGGAGUGAAAGGUACCGGCUCAACCGGUAUAGGCUCUGGAAACUGGCGGGCUAGAGAGCAGGAGAGGGCGGUGGAACUCCAUGUGUAGCGGUAAAAUGCGUAGAUAUAUGGAAGAACACCAGUGGCGAAGGCGGCCGCCUGGCCUGUUACUGACGCUGAGGCACGAAAGCGUGGGGAGCAAAUAGGAUUAGAUACCCGAGUA
This 468-nucleotide ribosomal RNA is filed under the name uncultured bacterium. RNAcentral's name for it is "bacterial SSU rRNA". It matches the Rfam family "Bacterial small subunit ribosomal RNA", at positions 331 to 792 of the family's 1533-position model. The record is from RNAcentral.